Molecule: RNA transcript, 3372 nt
Organism: Lolium rigidum
Lineage: Eukaryota; Viridiplantae; Streptophyta; Magnoliopsida; Poales; Poaceae
Exons: 4
Source: RefSeq, a predicted model, not a curated record
CAACCUAAAAUAGCAACCUAAAAUAGCACCUAUGAAGAUUUUCCUCUCUUGGUUAUGUGAAUUGCUUGUUUCAUAUAUACCUCUUUCUGUUAUGUGACCCAUUCUUGCACUCAGAGUUGGAACAACAACUACGGGUUGGGAUAAAGGAGGUGGAGGAGACCUUUUAGGUUUAUUCAAUGGGCCUUACCUAUCUGGUUUCACCUUCCAAUACAACGAGGUGCAGGGCAUGAUGUGUGAGAGGUAUUGGCCAUCUCAAAGGUUGAUUUAUACAUACCGAUUUGACCCUGAUUUUUUGACCUUCAUGGGAAAUUUUGCGAAGCUCAGACCUCGAGGGACGCAUGAAGUGGUCGGUUCUUUCUAUGGGAAGUAUCAGUCUUGCAAUGGUGCCAACAAAUUUCAUUGAAGUUCAUUUUUUAGAACCUUGAGUAAAUAAGGUGAUCAGACCAUCCACCAGCGUGGGAAAACAUCCAGCAUCAAGGAGCUAGCCCUGCACCCAGGUGCAACAGAUCCACCAUCAGCUGGAGGUGAGCCCAGACCUGGAGAAAAAAAUCUCAUCUUAUUUGGAUGAAGCAAUUCUAUGAAGCAAAGAAAUGUGACAUUAGAAGUAAUUCAAUGAAGCAAAGAAAAUUUGACAGGUCAAAUCCAUUUUCACAUCAUAAUUAUACUAGGUUAUUUAGUGUCACCCCAUGGUAACAUAAUUUUACUCAUAUUUUUAGGAUUGUUCAUGUUAAAAUAGAUUUGAUUGAACUUCUAAUAUCAUUCAUGAUCCCGAAACUAUUCAUACCAAUCUGGGGCAUCCCCUCUAUUUCCCUGGAAUUUACAGUGGUCACGGCAAUAAGACUUCCAAAGGAGCAAUAUUGUUGUGGCAAUCCUUUGGAAGGCACCAAUUUCAUCGACUAGGCAGAAACUAUGUUUGGUAUUACAUUUGCCCUUCUCUUCACAAAUAUGUACUAGGUUAUAUUUUGAUGUUCAAUUUUGGCUUCAGUAACAAGCUCAUGGGAUAUACUCUGUUUGUAUUAUAUUUGGUCUUCCCUUCACGAAUAUGUACUAGGUUCUGUUUUGAUGUUCAGUCCGUUCAGUAACAAGCUCAUGGAAUAUUAAGAUAUGAUGUAUUCUGAACAAUGGUGGGUUGCAACCUUGGUUGGUAAACAAUUGUGUUUAAUAUUUGUUCUUUCAUCUGCAGUUGUCACCAACAAUAAAUUUGUCUUCUCUAAGAGUGAUCUGGCUACUUGGGAGAAUGUUGAGCCUCACCGGGAUUUAAGAUGUAGAGGUGGCUGGCAUCUACAGUGUGUUGCCGCUGACACCAUGCUUGCUCAGGAUCCUCAAUAUGAGGCCCGAGAUGUGAAAUCAUAGGCAUGGCGGCCUUGAUGCGUCGGUGAUUUUUUUUUAGUAUGAGAGCUUCUCUGUUUUCAGCUCAGCGCUCGUGGCAUGGCGGCUUUGAUGCAUAGAUUGAAUUUUAUUAGCAAGAGUCUUCUAUAUUUUUCCAUUCAACUUUGCAUGUUCCUUGACUUUCCUUGGUUUCACACAUCCAGAGGGUUUGCUGCAGCAUUGCCAGACGUUCAGGUAGUCUGAGUGAGACUGUGGUUUACCCAUUAGUAUGCUUUUUUCUUAAUCUUCACUUCUUGCUAUGUUCAGCCAGUGUUAAUUCAAGACUAAAUCUGCGCUGCAUAAAGAGAAACCACACGAUUAGUUUCAGCAGCUUGAGUGUAGAAUUUGCAAAAGUUACUGAGUAGUUAAUAGUUUUAACCACAGCCCAAGCUAUCCAAAUCGUAAGCAGUUAUGCACAUUAGUACAGUAAAUAUGACGUGUUCAUAUCUCUCCUGCAUGAGUUGGAGCAAACCGAUUGCUGCAUGUGUUGGCAUAUACAAUCCAUGGAAGUAUAUAUUAUUGAAUAAUACAAUCAAACCAAUUGCUUUUUAUAUGAUUUUGUAUUCCAAAAUAUAAUUAGGAACUGAAUCUGACUGCUUUUCCUUUCAAUAAUAUGCCCCUAUAUGUCAGUGUUGUACAGUUUGGGAAUAAAGCUAUCAUCAGGGCGUAAUUGACAUGUUUUAUGCUUCUUUGUAAAUAUUUAAAUAUAAUUAGGAACAUAAUUUGUAGCACUUCUCACUUCAGUUUGGAUACAUGCACCUGUCUUUAUUUGUGCCAUCAUUGUAUAAUUAGCUAGAAAGCUUCAUUGUUUCUUCAGAUAUGGUGUUAAAUGAUUGAGGAAUCAAGACAGAAAAUAAUAUUGUGUAUUGUAUUUCUCUGUAUUAUACAUGUUCUUAACUGGUGUUUUUUUACCAUCUCCUUUUUCUUAGACCAAUAGUGCUAUAUUUGUGCCUGUUGAAAACUUCAUUGAUAUCUUGCAUGAGAUUAGUGAAUUCCUACUGGUGCUACCAAGGUCAAUUUUUAAGACCGGUUGCAGCAGGUUUUACUAUAAUUAUUGAUGCAUCAACGGUAAUUUACCGUUAAUAUGGCAAUCUCGAUGAUUUCCCUUUUUGGGUGAAAUAUAUUGUCUCAAUGUGCCAGUUGCGACUCCUGAACGACAUUGUGUGUGCUCACUAAUAUUUCUGCUUACUUCUGUCAUAAAUUAUCUGGUUAUUCUCUUGGGCCAAAUACAAAUAACUCUCUUUCUCUUAUGUCCAGAUGUGCUUGGCAAUAUUUCAGCAAUCUCAGUUGUUGCUGUUUUCAUGGUCCCAUGAAAAGGAUUCGGUGCUUAGCAAGGAGAUAUGUAUUCCUCUCUGACCCAAAGAAGGUCGCUGAUGUUUCUCACGUGCUUCCUUUAUGUGUCUAUAUGUUCAUUCUAUUUAUGAUCUAACUAUUGAAUUGAUCGCAACGGCCCGCUGCUAAAAUUUGAUCUCUGAGGUGAUAGUGCUUUAAUGGAAACAUGCUGAGAUUCCUUGGGAAAACUGAGUCAGCUAUAGUUAUCUUUGUUAGCUCCACUAUCUGAGAUUAUUCUGCUAGCCGCUCUUUAUUUCGUUAGACAUUCCAGCAUGGUAUCAUUUCUAUGUUUCCUAUUAACCUAUAUUUGCAGGGGAAAUGGAUCUUUUAUCUUAUUUCAGUGUGGUCAACGAAUCUAAACUCAUCAUUCAUUGGUUAUCAAUAUUGCGCUGCGCCACCAAGUAGGUGACUAUCCGAGGAAUCUCUUGCUGAUUUUAUCAAAUUUAUUAAUCUCUUCCAUGUGAGUGUUUGGAGAAACGGCUAGAGAAAAUGACGAUGAGAUGCUAUUCCUAAGCUUACAACCAAGGUUGUAUCUAUAAAAAUUGUUAUACACUCAUGUACUGUAAGGUUGUUAAUAGCCUCUUUACUGCAGCCAUUUUGUUGCUUUUUUACACGCGAUCUGUUAAUAUGUUUGUGAUUUCGUUUGGUUCCAACAAUUAUGUUAUGAUCUUC